RNAcentral lists this long non-coding RNA (1529 nucleotides) under Medicago truncatula (barrel medic). Its description in RNAcentral is "long non-coding RNA (MTRU_LNC008604)". Lineage: Eukaryota; Viridiplantae; Streptophyta; Magnoliopsida; Fabales; Fabaceae. The record is from RNAcentral.
AUCAUCAUAAUUUCAUAUAAUUUAUAGAGUUUUCGUACAAAAUUAUAAAUAUUUUAAUAAUAUUCAUACAAUCCAAAAAACUAACAAAAUAAACUAUUUUUGUGUAAAUCAACAAAUUUAUUAGAUACCAAGCCUGCACAAGACGUGCAAAAGCUAGCAUUGAGAACAAUACAAAAGCGACGCCCAUACGCGUAACGCCCAAGACCAAACAGAAAGCUAAGAACAUAGCCAGGAGAUCCCGUAGAAACUCCACACAGCUAACACAAUUACAUCUUAAAACAAUCAUCUAGGAACCAACUAUUCAUGUAAUAAUGGUUGUUGCACAAGGUAAAUCUUACAUUAGUAAACCAUAGUUGCUGCACAGGGUAAAUCUUACCAAAUGAGAGUGUCACAGUAUACAGAAAUUAAAGACUUGCAAACAUCUGACACUAUCAAGCAUGAAAUCUAAUAGAAAUGAGAGAAAAUUGAGAGAAUUGAGUGUCAUUACGUAAUUCUUAAGAUUAUUUUCCAGUAUUUAAUAUAGUGAGUAUGUAGGUGCCUGUUAGCUGAAUGAUUUUCAGGUCCUUGUUAACAGUCGAACAACGAUGCUUCUUGAAUAAUCAAAUUUCAGUGGUGAAUAUAUGAGCUUAUAUGAGCUUAUCCUACACUCUUAUUGGACUUAUCAUACACUAACGAACUGUUGUGUUUUAUUGAAUUUCACUAAAUUAGGAAGUCAACUUAAACACAAUGCACACCUCUCUACAAUGAUAUAAAAUAUAGGUCCUUGAUACAUUGAAAAACAUUUGCGCAUACAUGCAUUGGCUACACAUUCUAUUUGUAUAGCAGUGAACAUGCAUUACCUAUUCUUAUGUUUCCCCAAUUCCACAAUCACUUGACAUUUAGCUCCAAACUCACUUCCAUUUGAAUUUGAUGCUUCCAACUACUCCAAUAAGGUUAUUGCUAACUAAAAUCAACACAUUAACAACACAACAACAAAAAGGUUAAAUCAAUUAGGGUUUCAAUUAUCAUUCUAUUGCAUGUAAAUAUCCUUUUGCUAUGAUUAGAACCUAAUAUGAGAAACUCACCUCAAUUAGUAUAUAUCCUCAAGAUUUUGAUGAAGUGUGUGGGUUCACCAAAGCUCUAAACUGUCAUUCUUCUGCCCUUAGUACUUCUUCAACACGAGCUCUUCAUCUUCUUCCUCGAGUAAUAGAAAGAGGAACAAAUGAGCUAACCUAGAUGAUGGGAAAACGAGAACGGUUGAGCAAAAGAGAGAGGAACGAUUGAACAUCAAACAAGAUCAAGUGAACACGAUUGAGAUGGAGAAAAACCCUUUCGUCCGAAAUGAGAUGAAAGAAACCCAGAUGCGUAAAUGAUUGUGGUUUUAGUUUCUGCUUGUUUUAAUUUUUUUAUUUUGUAAUUUUUUUUAAUUAUAAGUUAAAUUAAUUGGGGUAUUGGCGGAAAUAAAGGGGUAGUGGCAGAUUUUUUUAAACUGGAUGAACAUUACUAGCAGAUUAAUAUCCGCCAGUAGUCCAAUCCCAUGUGCAGCAUCA